GAGGGGAACGAACCCUAGACCGUGAGCAGCUGCCACUCUCCCUCCUCUGCUCUUCCCGUCUCCAGCCUGCGCCGCCUCUCUGAUUCCUCUUUCGGUCCUCGCCGCCGCCGCCACUCAUCCUUCACCUCUUCACCCUCGCCGCUUCUCCACAACGCUAGCCCCUCCACCUGUCCUUCCUUCCCUUCGUUGUCUGGUGGCCAUGGGAUGCGCCUGGAUCCAGAUCGGGCGUAGUAGGUGAGCUGAUGGUUGGGUGAAGGAGUAGGGGAGGCGGGCGAUGAGGACAGGAAGAAGCCGGCCGUCCUGGUACAAUGGGGCAGCCGGGAAGAAGGAGGAGGUCGGCUGCGUCCCCGGGGUUGUCGGUGCAGCUGCUCCUCAACGAGAUUCGGCCAUGGAGAGGACCGUGGUGGCAGCACAGCCUCGCCCCCUCUGCCGCUAGCCCGACCUUUCUCUUCUCGCGUCCCUUUCUAUGUCAUCGGCUCGCGCUGCUGCUCUGGUAGGCAUCCUCCUCAUCCUCGGUGCUCAACAGAUUUUAUUUUCGUAUGCAUACAAGGUGUUCGACGAAAAUCCUAGAAGGCCGGCAGGGGACGAGUGAUCUAUGAGAGGAGGACAGCCACAGCAGCAAGCGGCGUGCUGUCCCAGCCAGCUGUCGUACAUAGCCGAGUCGAUUUUGCGUUGCCUUACCUCCUGUUGUUUGGUUUUCCGCUUUUGCUCACUUCUCCUUCCAAUGUUGGUGCAGGAUCGUUCGUUGUUCGGCUGGCUGCUGAGGUUUGCCAACGACGUCAGUUUGUUAUUUUCUCCUGAAGGUUCUUUGUUGAUUCGUUGGACGUGUGUGAUGCUGACCAACAAGGUUAGGUUUCCUCUGGUUGUCUUUCUUGAUAAGGUCUGUACACAUUCAUAAACUCGUGUGUUUGUGCGGUCAGGUUGGCUGUCUAUAUGUUUUGGGGUUCGCCUGCUCGCUGUAUUGACAACCAUAGAAAAAUAUAGCAAGAGUAAAAUUAGGCUUGUUGUUUGAGAUGAUUCCUUUCCACGAUAAAUAAAUUGGAGUGGUUUCAAACACUUAAGCCCUUGAUCGGACAGAGAAACACGGGUUGAACUGAACUCUAUAUAUAUAGUGUUAUCUAUUCUUGUGGUGCUUUUAACUUUGAUCUUGCAACUGAACCUGCAAACUACUUAUUUUUGUGGAUUGGUAAACCUGAAUGUCGGAAACUAAAUGGGUGGCCCUGGGUUCAGUGGCGUUCAAGUACGACAAGACCAUAUUAUGACAGGAGCAUAAAGGCAUAAACACGAAAGCAUGAAACUAAAUGUGUUCCCUGGGUGGUCUUAUACAUUGAGACUAGAUACAAAAGGUUCCGCAAAGAGGGACUCAAGUCUACAACCACCAAAGAGAUAAGGCCAUGAACAAUAGUAUGUGGCCGUGCUAUGCAAAUUUUCUCUCAUCGAGGUAUGCCUCUGUCUCAAUGGGCCAAGGCUCGACUUGCCUGCCACAUAUUUAUUUUCUUUGCUGCACGAUGUUGUGAGAUUGGGGUGUGUUGAGUAUGCAAUCCUGAUUCCAGGAAAAAAAUGAUUACGCAGUUUGUUGGACGUGUUUAGUUUGGAGGGGUCUGCAGGUGGUGGUUAUGAUUCGGUUUCCAUUUGAUGAUUUCUUCAAAUGAUUCAGGAGAUAAAUCCAAGGCCAUUAUUUGGUUCUACCUGGUGCAAAAUCUCUCGUUGUUCUACUUAAUUAUACCACAUGUAGAAAAGUGGAUAUUAUUUGUUGAUGAGUUUUUUGCUGUUUUGUACUGACCAUAUUAAUUCCCUCGGGCUGUAAGAAUUAAAAACCUUAUUUUUACCCUAUGGUUAUAUGUUAAAGAUAUUUUAUAGAUUGCAAGAUUGAGUUCUUUCUCUUCGGUAUGGUUGGUUUAAUUUCUCAUCUUUUCAUAUCUUAUAUCCUUUGCUGUGAUGCUAUGCAUACCUAUGAAGUACAUGUAUGUUACCAUAAAACAUGUGGAUUGAUCCAAUGCCGCCAUCCAUCAAAGUUUGUAUUAGGCAGAUAGUCUUUAUGAACCUAAUUACAACAUUGUAAAUUGCUGUUUCAUUCAGCAUUCUUUUGAGUUUUCAUGAGAUACUCAUGUUAGGAAUAGCAGGUAAUGGAGAUUAGAAUUUGGAACUUAUCUCUUUGCCAGCACAAUUUCAAGUUUCUCUAUCUUACUCUAUUUCAUUAAAUAUAUUUCUCCUCUCAUUCCAUCAUUCAAUCUGUCGGUUACUCAUGAUGAGUGAUUAUAUGCAAUCAUCCGACAAUAAUUAAUUUAGAUAAUUAGUUAUGCCAGGUUGCUACAUUUCUAUCUCCUUUUUGCCAAUAUGAAAUAUGAUGGCAUAUUAAUAUUUAGAUCCAAGUCGUCGUCCGCUGCAGCAUCACCCUUCUUUUCCGCCGCCCUAACUUUUUUACACCCCAGGCCUAGCAGGCGAUAACGGCGCCAUGAGGAUUCGCUGCCGUGAGGAGGACCCCGGCCCGUAUGAUGUCCACCGGAAGGUCACACACUUCCUUGGCUCGCUCAGACUGGCUCCAUUGAUGGCUUCUCGAAGGUAUCUUCUUGUGCAGCUUCACACUUGCUUGUGUGUCUUGCAAAAAAGUAAGCUACCUGGUACCUCUUUAGUCUGCUUUAGCAGGCGUAUGCAGAGGAAGCCAAGGGAUACAUGAUAUUGGUAAUUUACUAAUGAUCCAUAUUGUUGGAAUAAUUUUGUUGCAAAUAUUUUCGUUGGUUGUCCUUUUAUUUUAUUUAUAAUCUUGCCUCGAUCAUGUCUUCCAUUGUGCUUCUUCACUGAAAAGGUGGUCUGCAUAUGUGCACUUGCUGAGAAUGGAAUAAUCUCAUGAAUUCUAUUGAAAACAUAAGUUACUUAUUUUAGUAUGCUUAAUGUUUGGUUUUAGUAAUUAUGUCUGCUUUAGCAGCCAGGAGCAUCCCCUCCCAUUUUUGACUUUGAACCAUGUGCCCUGUUUAAACCAGCAUAGUUCGAUGACCUUAUGCAAUUAUUUGGUACAAAGAAUGUGCUGAUAAAGUAUUUUUACUUUUACUUUACUGUGUUUAGUUCCGAGGUAUUGAUACUCCUGUCAAUCUGCUCUAAUCUGGUUCACCAAUAUCCUGAAGGAAUUAGACCAUCUUAUAUCUUUUUUUUCUGAUUUUGGUUGGACACCUGCUUAGAUGGGUGAACUUUUAACCCAUCUUUUAUUGCUUGGAGGUGUAUUUGUUGGGUUCCUCUUGGCGUGUUGAACAAAAAUUGGCGUUCAACACUGCUAUUUAAAGAUGGUUUGGUUAGUACUAGGGAAAACCCAUAGAUGGAAGGAAAUUAUUGUAGGUGAGAGCAUGGUACCCCGUCUCUUCCUAUUUUGUUCAUUUCUUAUAGUAUUACUUUGAGGCAUUAUUUAUAGCAAAAGAAUUAGGUUGACCAUUUAAUAUCCUUAUUCCUUAUCAUGCUAUGCAGAGGCCCUUAGGUUUGCAUUUGGAUGCUAAUUGUUUAAUAAACAUCAUGCAUUAGUUAGCUAUAAUCAUUUAUCUUUUCCACAAACAUGAUGAUUAUGUUUAGUAGGAUUGUCCGUUACAUAUCCCAGUGAUGUAUCAUUGUAAAGUAAGGUUUAAGGAGAUCUAAUCCUGGGCAUAUCAAUGUAAGAGCACGUUUUUAAAGGAAAUAUGCCCUAGA
Molecule: long non-coding RNA, 3672 nt
Organism: Triticum aestivum (bread wheat)
Lineage: Eukaryota; Viridiplantae; Streptophyta; Magnoliopsida; Poales; Poaceae
Exons: 5
Source: RefSeq, a predicted model, not a curated record